GAAAAUGAAGUAUUAUUACAUCUCAGUUACAUUGAGAAGAUCCAUUUAUCUAAUGGCGUUUUUA
This 64-nucleotide transfer RNA is filed under the name Favorinus branchialis. RNAcentral describes it as "tRNA-Val". The record is from RNAcentral. Lineage: Eukaryota; Metazoa; Mollusca; Gastropoda; Nudibranchia; Facelinidae.